Brassica oleracea var. oleracea is the source of this 1097-nucleotide long non-coding RNA. RefSeq lists it as uncharacterized. The record is from RefSeq and is a predicted model, not a curated record. NCBI's taxonomy places the organism in Eukaryota, Viridiplantae, Streptophyta, Magnoliopsida, Brassicales, Brassicaceae. The transcript has 2 exons.
GUAAAUUGCAUAUUUUUUAUUUACGCUCUUUCUACUUCUCUAAUUUUUAUGCCGAAAACGACGAGACAUGGGGCCUUUCGUUGACGUCCCUAAUGAGAUAUAUUUACUGGCCUCGAUGGAAGUUGAGUCUUUGGAGCAGGUAAAACCUGGAUAUCUUUACACAUACACUGUGUUCUUUGGGAAGUGCGGCCUAGUUUUUCCCAUCCAGACUCUUUUGCUCGAGGUCAUCCUUAAGUUAAAGAAUCCUUACGGAGAUCCCCACAAGGGAUGAAUGGAGAGAAAAUAAUUCUUUUUGAAGCAAACAAGGCUUGAAUCGGGAGUCAAGGACUGCGAAAGUCACCUUGUGAAGGAGCUCACUGAUCGUGAAGUCACUUUGUGCACAUAGAGGCCAACCUUGCCAGCGAACUUCUGGUCACUGCUAAUUGGUGCUCCACUCUCAUGUUCGAGAGUGAUGCAGUAUUGGUUAGGGUGAAGUGCCUCGAGGAAUAUAAUCAGAGUUUGGUGGUGGCUCACAAGUUCCAGAUGAGGCGUUUGAUUUGGGCCGCCAAACGUGAGAUCUCAAUUAGGUAUCGGGAGAUCUUGAACGUGAUAAAAGACAAAUUGGUGGCUAAAGGCAGGGAGGCCACCACCGAUAUAGAGCUACAGGAAGUGGCAAAGAAUCUUGGCAUCUUGGAGGUACUUCAUAGCGGGAGAUUGAUGUUGAAAUGGAAUUGGCCGAGUUGAGAGACAAGGACACGGACCUGGUGGAUGAUCAGGUUGUUGACUCCGGUGGUGGAGUUAGGGAAGGUUGAAUGUCCCUUUCUUUUUUUUUUGCUGUUGUUUUGUUGCCUAAGGAGGAAUUUUACUUUUCUAAUCAGUACCUUAAGGUUUUAUUUAUUUUAGGAUCUGGUUGUUUGUUUGUGGAAUACUACUUUUGGGGUUGUUUGAGAUUUGUACCAGCUGCAGGUUUAGAAAAUCUCGUGUGAUGCUCUUUUGAGAUUCUCUUAGGAAUUCAUUUGUAAUUCCUCAUAACCUUGGUGUUUUUAUCGGGUGAAGUACUAGAUUUAAGGGCGUGUUACUCUGAUGGUAGAGUUAGGCGAACCCGUUAUAGCGCUGAA